This is a long non-coding RNA of Hemicordylus capensis (graceful crag lizard), 1837 nucleotides long. RefSeq lists it as uncharacterized. Lineage: Eukaryota; Metazoa; Chordata; Lepidosauria; Squamata; Cordylidae. The transcript has 2 exons. The record is from RefSeq and is a predicted model, not a curated record.
GUGGGGGUGGGCAAGGCAAGUAAAGAGAAAUAAAGGAGGCCGCCACAUGGCGCAGGGAGUGAGAGGAACAGUUUCAGCAAACAGACAGGAGUUAUUUGAGAAGGGUGAUAGCAAGAUGAAGCAAAAGACACUUCAAAACAUGCAAGCAACCAAACAAAUAGAAAAAAAUCGGCAGAAAAGGAGUGAUGGACAAACGUAUAGAAGAGAUUGACACUUCUGUUUCUGUGACUGUUUUGAACAAUGCAUUUGAUGAUACCAUCCAUUCAUCAUUUCACACUGACAAACUGCUUCACAGCUGAUCAAAACCGAAGACUUAAGCAUUUUUCUGUUUUCUUUUUGACUGACUUAGUGGCCAGAGCUAAACCUCUGAAGGAAAGAGGUAAUCAUCAUGUUUUCAUCCAUGUUAAAUAUUGUGCCUUAAGCCAUCGACAAGUCAUAUACACGAAUAAUUUGGUGGGGGGAGGUUCUUAUACCACUCUUAACACACAAGUAAUAUAUCAACAUAUAGGAGCUUCACAAUCCUAGUUCAGCAAUGAAAGGGAGCCCAUGUGCACAGCCUCAGAUGUUGGAUAUGGUAACCACUCACAGAGCACCACCUUGUCCAUGUGGUUUCUGAUCCAGAAGAUGUUCUGUACAUGAAGCUUGUUUCCAUGUGCCCUUGGAAGAUCAAUGGCUGACAUCUCAACUAAUGAAGCAUGUACCGUACUAAACAGCUUCACACACAGAGUGAGAUCACCCCUGCAGCUUCAUGUCUCCCCUUACGCAUGUAUUUUUGCACAACAAAGCAAACUGGUACUUCUCUUGAAGCAUUCUCCUGCACUCUCAAAGCCUUCUGUCAUAGCAGAAAUGCAUUGCUGAGGGCAGUAAAGUGUUUUCUGUGACAAAGGGCUUUGGGAAAGUGGGCACUCUGGGGAAAGUGCCCACUCACUCCAUUGCACAAAAACGUGUGUAAGGGAACACAUGGAGUUGCAGGGAUGAUCCCACUGCGUGUGAAGCUGCUGUUCAUUUACAUGCUUUGUUAGGAAGUUAGCCAAUGCCUUUUGUGAAAAUUUACUCUUUUAAGGCCAUAAAUACAUUAAAAUUAUACCAAAGAAGUAUUUUGGAGUUGAAAGCUUUGAAACCUAUUACAUUUUCCUUUGUGGAAUGUAUUGCCUGAUUCAUUCCACAGUAGCCCAAAGUUAGUGACCAAAUACAUUGGCAUAAGAAGUUUAUUGAGAUUUUGUGAAAAUAUUCUAAGAUCGUGUUUCCUUUAUGGAUCAAAAAAUAUUUCAUGAAAUCCUUGUUUAUAUAUACAAAUUAGUUGAUAUUGUGUUCAUGACGUGACCCUUGGUGAUCAAAGUGUAUUGAUUUAAAUCACCAAGAAAGCAUUUCAGUUUGGCACGUCAAAACACUUGCAUGUGUAAGUCAGGAGGUAAAUUCAGUCCCAGUUUUAUAACUGGGAUUGUUCAGAAAUUCUGGCUGGAACAAACUGGGAUUUGCUGAGUUCAGAGAUCACAGGUUCUACAAAAACCUGUACAAAGAGGACAACAAGUUUACAACUUCCUCCACUCACACCAUAGGAGGUUCACAAGCCUGAGGCUUAAGAGCAGCCUGAGAAACCAUGAUUGUUUAAACUGGGCCAGCAUGUCAUAUUUGUGAAACUUGACUUGAAAAGUCUGAUGUUCUUCAGAAUAAGCGAGCAGGAACUAGAUCAGACUAUGUUAAUCAGAAACAGUUUGAAUUUUUUAUUAUUGUUAUUGUUGAUGCAAAUUUUAUAGUUGUGUGCCAUUUGGCUGCAAAGUCAAAAAGUGGCAUAUGGACAUUUAAAUAAAACUAGAAGGUGGUAUGUUUUGCCCCA